RNAcentral lists this transfer RNA (72 nucleotides) under Planctomycetota bacterium. RNAcentral's name for it is "Planctomycetes bacterium tRNA-Arg". It matches the Rfam family "tRNA". Rfam says of the family: Transfer RNA (tRNA) molecules are approximately 80 nucleotides in length. Their secondary structure includes four short double-helical elements and three loops (D, anti-codon, and T loops). Further hydrogen bonds mediate the characteristic L-shaped molecular structure. tRNAs have two regions of fundamental functional importance: the anti-codon, which is responsible for specific mRNA codon recognition, and the 3' end, to which the tRNAs corresponding amino acid is attached (by aminoacyl-tRNA synthetases). tRNAs cope with the degeneracy of the genetic code in two manners: having more than one tRNA (with a specific anti-codon) for a particular amino acid; and 'wobble' base-pairing, i.e. permitting non-standard base-pairing at the 3rd anti-codon position. The record is from RNAcentral. Lineage: Bacteria; Pseudomonadati; Planctomycetota.
UCCGGGGUAGCUCAACGGCAGAGCACUCGGCUUCGGACCGAGAGGGUGCUGGUUCAAAUCCAGCCCCCGGAC